AUGCUCGCUUUGGCAGCACAUAUACUAAAACUGGAACGAUACAGAGAAGAUUAGCAUGGUCCCUGAACAAGGAAGACAUGCAAAUUCAUGAAGUGUUCCGUAUUUUU
Molecule: small nuclear RNA, 107 nt
Filed under: Phocoena sinus (vaquita)
Lineage: Eukaryota; Metazoa; Chordata; Mammalia; Artiodactyla; Phocoenidae
Source: RNAcentral